GGACCGAACCGACUAAUGUUGAAAAAUUAGCGGAUGACUUGUGGCUGGGGGUGAAAGGCCAAUCAAACCGGGAGAUAGCUGGUUCUCCCCGAAAGCUAUUUAGGUAGCGCCUCGUGAAUUCAUCUCCGGGGGUAGAGCACUGUUUCGGCAAGGGGGUCAUCCCGACUUACCAACCCGAUGCAAACUGCGAAUACCGGAGAAUGUUAUCACGGGAGACACACGGCGGGUGCUAACGUCCGUCGUGAAGAGGGAAACAACCCAGACCGCCAGCUAAGGUCCCAAAGUCAUGGUUAAGUGGGAAACGAUGUGGGAAGGCCCAGACAGCCAGGAUGUUGGCUUAGAAGCAGCCAUCAUUUAAAGAAAGCGUAAUAGCUCACUGGUCGAGUCGGCCUGCGCGGAAGAUGUAACGGGGCUAAACCAUGCACCGAAGCUGCGGCAGCGACGCUGAUGCGUUGUUGGGUAGGGGAGCGUUCUGUAAGCCUGUGAAGGUGUGCUGUGAGGUAUGCUGGAGGUAUCAGAAGUGCGAAUGCUGACAUAAGUAACGAUAAAGCGGGUGAAAAGCCCGCUCGCCGGAAGACCAAGGGUUCCUGUCCAACGUUAAUCGGGGCAGGGUGAGUCGACCCCUAAGGCGAGGCCGAAAGGCGUAGUCGAUGGGAAACAGGUUAAUAUUCCUGUACUUGGUGUUACUGCGAAGGGGGGACGGAGAAGGCUAUGUUGGCCGGGCGACGGUUGUCCCGGUUUAAGCGUGUAGGCUGGUUUUCCAGGCAAAUCCGGAAAACUAAGGCUGAGGCGUGAUGACGAGGCACUACGGUGCUGAAGCAACAAAUGCCCUGCUUCCAGGAAAAGCCUCUAAGCAUCAGGUAACAUCAAAUCGUACCCCAAACCGACACAGGUGGUCAGGUAGAGAAUACCAAGGCGCUUGAGAGAACUCGGGUGAAGGAACUAGGCAAAAUGGUGCCGUAACUUCGGGAGAAGGCACGCUGAUAUGUAGGUGAAGUCCCUCGCGGAUGGAGCUGAAAUCAGUCGAAGAUACCAGCUGGCUGCAACUGUUUAUUAAAAACACAGCACUGUGCAAACACGAAAGUGGACGUAUACGGUGUGACGCCUGCCCGGUGCCGGAAGGUUAAUUGAUGGGGUCAGCGCAAGCGAAGCUCUUGAUCGAAGCCCCGGUAAACGGCGGCCGUAACUAUAACGGUCCUAAGGUAGCGAAAUUCCUUGUCGGGUAAGUUCCGACCUGCACGAAUGGCGUAAUGAUGGCCAGGCUGUCUCCACCCGAGACUCAGUGAAAUUGAACUCGCUGUGAAGAUGCAGUGUACCCGCGGCAAGACGGAAAGACCCCGUGAACCUUUACUAUAGCUUGACACUGAACAUUGAGCCUUGAUGUGUAGGAUAGGUGGGAGGCUUUGAAGUGUGGACGCCAGUCUGCAUGGAGCCGACCUUGAAAUACCACCCUUUAAUGUUUGAUGUUCUAACGUUGACCCGUAAUCCGGGUUGCGGACAGUGUCUGGUGGGUAGUUUGACUGGGGCGGUCUCCUCCUAAAGAGUAACGGAGGAGCACGAAGGUUGGCUAAUCCUGGUCGGACAUCAGGAGGUUAGUGCAAUGGCAUAAGCCAGCUUGACUGCGAGCGUGACGGCGCGAGCAGGUGCGAAAGCAGGUCAUAGUGAUCCGGUGGUUCUGAAUGGAAGGGCCAUCGCUCAACGGAUAAAAGGUACUCCGGGGAUAACAGGCUGAUACCGCCCAAGAGUUCAUAUCGACGGCGGUGUUUGGCACCUCGAUGUCGGCUCAUCACAUCCUGGGGCUGAAGUAGGUCCCAAGGGUAUGGCUGUUCGCCAUUUAAAGUGGUACGCGAGCUGGGUUUAGAACGUCGUGAGACAGUUCGGUCCCUAUCUGCCGUGGGCGCUGGAGAACUGAGGGGGGCUGCUCCUAGUACGAGAGGACCGGAGUGGACGCAUCACUGGUGUUCGGGUUGUCAUGCCAAUGGCACUGCCCGGUAGCUAAAUGCGGAAGAGAUAAGUGCUGAAAGCAUCUAAGCACGAAACUUGCCCCGAGAUGAGUUCUCCCUGACUCCUUGAGAGUCCUGAAGGAACGUUGAAGACGACGACGUUGAUAGGCCGGGUGUGUAAGCGCAGCGAUGCGUUGAGCUAACCGGUACUAAUGAACCGUGAGGCUUAACCUUACAACGCCGAAGGUGUUU
This 2195-nucleotide ribosomal RNA is filed under the name Shigella flexneri. Its description in RNAcentral is "partial 23S ribosomal RNA". It matches the Rfam family "Bacterial large subunit ribosomal RNA", at positions 771 to 2925 of the family's 2925-position model. Lineage: Bacteria; Pseudomonadati; Pseudomonadota; Gammaproteobacteria; Enterobacterales; Enterobacteriaceae. The record is from RNAcentral.